AGUCUGCAGCCCUGGAAGCGCCCUCAGUUGUGUUUGUACUCUGGGACGGUUGGGCUUGCAGAAAGAGCAUUGGAUAGAGGAAGCCGAGGCAGGCCUGCAAAAAGCAUCAGCAGUUCCAUGUGCUAUAUUCCUCUGACAUCCCUGUACUGUUGCCACGGAGGUAAUGACCAUCCCAAUGUCAUUAUCCAUCCAUCAACAGUCAGAGCAACUCUGCAGUUUGAUAUUCCUUGGCAACCGGAGGGCAGUUGCCAAAUACUAGAAACUGCUACAUAU
Molecule: non-coding RNA, 273 nt
Organism: Sphaerodactylus townsendi
Lineage: Eukaryota; Metazoa; Chordata; Lepidosauria; Squamata; Sphaerodactylidae
Source: RefSeq, a predicted model, not a curated record